CGGGCGGGGCUACACAUCCAGUCUUACGGUAGCACAGGAGAGCUUGCUCUCUGGGUGACGAGCGGCGGACGGGUGAGUAAUGUCUGGGAAACUGCCUGAUGGAGGGGGAUAACUACUGGAAACGGUAGCUAAUACCGCAUGACCUCGCAAGAGCAAAGUGGGGGACCUUCGGGCCUCACGCCAUCGGAUGUGCCCAGAUGGGAUUAGCUAGUAGUGGGGUAAUGGCUCACCUAGGCGACGAUCCCUAGCUGGUCUGAGAGGAUGACCAGCCACACUGGAACUGAGACACGGUCCAGACUCCUACGGGAGGCAGCAGUGGGGAAUAUUGCACAAUGGGCGCAAGCCUGAUGCAGCCAUGCCGCGUGUGUGAAGAAGGCCUUAGGGUUGUAAAGCACUUUCAGCGAGGAGGAAGGGUUCAGUGUUAAUAGCACUGAGCAUUGACGUUACUCGCAGAAGAAGCACCGGCUAACUCCGUGCCAGCAGCCGCGGUAAUACGGAGGGUGCAAGCGUUAAUCGGAAUUACUGGGCGUAAAGCGCACGCAGGCGGUUUGUUAAAGUCAGAUGUGAAAUCCCCGAGCUUAACUUGGGAACUGCAUUUUGAAAACUGGCAAGCUAAAAGUCUUGUAGAGGGGGGUAGAAUUCCAGGUGUAGCGGUGAAAAUGCGUUAGAGAUCUGGAGGAAUUACGGUUGGCGAAGCGGCCCUGGAACAAAGACUUGACCGCUUCAGGUGCGAAAGCGGUGGGGNCAACCCGGAUUAAUCCCNGGUUUUNCCC
This 773-nucleotide ribosomal RNA is filed under the name Rahnella sp. UST050418-250. Its description in RNAcentral is "bacterial SSU rRNA". It matches the Rfam family "Bacterial small subunit ribosomal RNA", at positions 40 to 798 of the family's 1533-position model. The record is from RNAcentral. Lineage: Bacteria; Pseudomonadati; Pseudomonadota; Gammaproteobacteria; Enterobacterales; Yersiniaceae.